RNAcentral lists this ribosomal RNA (253 nucleotides) under uncultured prokaryote. RNAcentral's name for it is "partial 16S ribosomal RNA". It matches the Rfam family "Bacterial small subunit ribosomal RNA", at positions 524 to 776 of the family's 1533-position model. The record is from RNAcentral.
UACGAAGGGUGCUAGCGUUGUUCGGAAUCACUGGGCGUAAAGCGUGCGUAGGCGGCUUUGCAAGUCAGGGGUGAAAUGCCAAGGCUUAACCUUGGAACUGCCUUUGAAACUGCAAAGCUAGAGUAUUGGAGGGGAGUGCGGAAUUCCUAAUGUAGAGGUGAAAUUCGUAGAUAUUAGGAGGAACACCGGUGGCGAAGGCGGCACUCUGGACAAUAACUGACGCUCUGGCACGAAAGCGCGGGGAUCAAACAGG